Molecule: transfer RNA, 77 nt
Filed under: Thiobacillus sp.
Lineage: Bacteria; Pseudomonadati; Pseudomonadota; Betaproteobacteria; Nitrosomonadales; Thiobacillaceae
Also listed under: 20 other names
Description: tRNA-Pro
Rfam family: tRNA
About the family: Transfer RNA (tRNA) molecules are approximately 80 nucleotides in length. Their secondary structure includes four short double-helical elements and three loops (D, anti-codon, and T loops).
Source: RNAcentral
CGGGGUGUAGCGCAGCCCGGUAGCGCGCCUGCUUUGGGAGCAGGAUGUCAGGAGUUCGAAUCCCCUCACCCCGACCA